This 253-nucleotide ribosomal RNA is filed under the name uncultured bacterium. RNAcentral's name for it is "partial 16S ribosomal RNA". It matches the Rfam family "Bacterial small subunit ribosomal RNA", at positions 524 to 776 of the family's 1533-position model. The record is from RNAcentral.
UCCAGAUGUCUCAAGCGUUGUUCGGAUUCAUUGGGCGUAAAGGGUGCGUAGUUGGCGCGGUAAGUCGGGUGUGAAAUUUCGGAGCUUAACUCCGAAACUGCAUUCGAUACUGCCGUGCUUGAGGACUGGAGAGGAGACUGGAAUUUACGGUGUAGCGGUGAAAUGCGUAGAUAUCGUAAGGAAGACCAGUGGCGAAGGCGGGUCUCUGGACAGUUCCUGACGCUGAGGCACGAAGGCCAGGGGAGCAAACGGG